This 308-nucleotide long non-coding RNA is filed under the name Cyanistes caeruleus (blue tit). RNAcentral's name for it is "lncRNA (ENSCCEG00000016468.1)". Lineage: Eukaryota; Metazoa; Chordata; Aves; Passeriformes; Paridae. The record is from RNAcentral.
GUAAGGGAUGGCUGUAAGGGAAGGAGAAAGAGGCAGCUGAAGGUUCUUUCUGUUAGAGCUGGUUUCUCUGAAAAACACCGAAAGAAGACAAAAGGGAGAAAAGCAAUUCUGAAACAAAGAGCAAAAGGGAGAAGACAUUUCUCAUGCCAAGGCAUGGGAAGCUGAUGCAGAAUUGCAGUACCACGAGCAGCAGGAGCCCCUGAGGAUAAACACCAUGUGGCUGCUCAGAAAGGAGAGGAAUGACUGCCAUUUACCACCUUUCUCAAUUAAACAGUCCCACAAUUCAGGUAUGUAGCAAUAUGUUCAAG